CAAAGCGGAGGAAAAGAAACCAACAGGGAUUGCCUUAGUAGCGGCGAGUGAAGCGGCAAAAGCUCAAAUUUGAAAUCUGGCUCUUUCAGAGUCCGAGUUGUAAUUUGAAGAAGGUAUCUUUGGGUCUGGCUCUUGUCUAUGUUUCUUGGAACAGAACGUCACAGAGGGUGAGAAUCCCGUGCGAUGAGAUGAUCCAGGCCUAUGUAAAGUUCCUUCGAAGAGUCGAGUUGUUUGGGAAUGCAGCUCUAAGUGGGUGGUAAAUUCCAUCUAAAGCUAAAUAUUGGCGAGAGACCGAUAGCGAACAAGUACAGUGAUGGAAAGAUGAAAAGAACUUUGAAAAGAGAGUGAAAAAGUACGUGAAAUUGUUGAAAGGGAAGGGCUUGAGAUCAGACUUGGUAUUUUGUAUGUUACUUCUUCGGGGGUGGCCUCUACAGUUUAUCGGGCCAGCAUCAGUUUGGGCGGUAGGAGAAUUGCGUUGGAAUGUGGCACGGCUUCGGUUGUGUGUUAUAGCCUUCGUCGAUACUGCCAGCCUAGACUGAGGACUGCGGUUUAUACCUAGGAUGUUGGCAUAAUGAUCUUAAGUCGCCCGUCUUG
Molecule: ribosomal RNA, 594 nt
Filed under: Candida tropicalis
Lineage: Eukaryota; Fungi; Ascomycota; Pichiomycetes; Serinales; Debaryomycetaceae
Description: eukaryotic LSU rRNA
Rfam family: Eukaryotic large subunit ribosomal RNA
Source: RNAcentral